Molecule: long non-coding RNA, 1016 nt
Filed under: Citrus sinensis (sweet orange)
Lineage: Eukaryota; Viridiplantae; Streptophyta; Magnoliopsida; Sapindales; Rutaceae
Description: long non-coding RNA (CSIN_LNC000323)
Source: RNAcentral
UUCAGCAUUACAGUUCCUUUCUUGGGCGGACAAAGAUCAAAGGACUUAUCUAUUGCCUGUUGUACAGAAUGCUCUGAAACUCCAAUGCUCAAAAAAUUAUUGGGACCCUCUUCUAGGGAAACCUGGUCUUUAGUAUCAGCUAUGGCAGGUGGCACUGACUCCUGCAUGUGUCCAACUUUUAACUUGCCAGAGAAAUUAAGUUUUGAAGUUGCAUCAUCUUCUUCUUUCUUUUCUGGAGUUUCUCCAAUCUGAAUUCCAAUCUCAUCCAGAUGCAUGUUCUUAGAAUCAGAAUGACCAGAAAAUGAGUGAAUGACAUCUCCACUGACCGAAUCUGAAACCACAAUGCACUCAGGUUGUUUCAUACAACUGACACCAGCCUUCUUGGGCGGACAAAGAUCAAAGGACUUAUCUAUUGCCUGUUGUACAGAAUGCUCUGAAACUCCAAUGCUCAAAAAAUUAUUGGGACCCUCUUCUAGGGAAACCUGGUCUUUAGUAUCAGCUAUGGCAGGUGGCACUGACUCCUGCAUGUGUCCAACUUUUAACUUGCCAGAGAAAUUAAGUUUUGAAGUUGCAUCAUCUUCUUCUUUCUUUUCUGGAGUUUCUCCAAUCUGAAUUCCAAUCUCAUCCAGAUGCAUGUUCUUAGAAUCAGAAUGACCAGAAAAUGAGUGAAUGACAUCUCCACUCUUCGAAUCUGAAGCCACAAUGCACUCAGGUUGUUUCAUACAACUGACACCAGCUUCCAGAGAGUUUGGACUAACAUCAGGUAACUGUGUCUUCGAAUCUGAAGCCACAAUGCACUCAGGUUGUUUCAUACUACUGCCAUCAGCCCCUAAAGAAUUUGGAAUAACAACAGGUAAAUGUGUCGUCAGCCGGUACACAGAAUUGGAGGUAGGUUUAUCAUUGAAAUGGUUUGAACAACUAAAUGGGAAUGUAUGAUGAGAACAUUUGCCUCUACCCUGAGAGGUUCUAUCCUUAGUCCUAAAACAAUCAUGGGCGAGAGGCUUGCUUGCUCCAAC